RNAcentral lists this ribosomal RNA (371 nucleotides) under uncultured organism. RNAcentral's name for it is "bacterial SSU rRNA". It matches the Rfam family "Bacterial small subunit ribosomal RNA", at positions 527 to 896 of the family's 1533-position model. The record is from RNAcentral.
CGGGGGGGCAAGCGUUGUUCGGAAUUACUGGGCGUAAAGGGUUCGUAGGUGGCCCGCUAAGUCACACGUGAAAUCCCUCAGCUUAACUGGGGAACUGCGUGUGAGACUGGCAGGCUUGAGUGCAGGAGAGGAACGCGGAAUUCCAGGUGUAGCGGUGAAAUGCGUAGAUACCUGGAGGAACACCGGUGGCGAAGGCGGCGUUCUGGACUGUAUCUGACACUGAGGAACGAAAGCCAGGGGAGCAAACGGGAUUAGAUACCCCGGUAGUCCUGGCCCUAAACGAUGAAUGCUUGGUGUGACGGGUAUCGAUCCCUGUCGUGCCGCAGUUAACGCGUUAAGCAUUCCGCCUGGGGAGUACGGUCGCAAGGCUG